RNAcentral lists this ribosomal RNA (237 nucleotides) under uncultured archaeon. RNAcentral's name for it is "partial 16S ribosomal RNA". It matches the Rfam family "Archaeal small subunit ribosomal RNA", at positions 488 to 724 of the family's 1478-position model. The record is from RNAcentral.
GUGAUGGCCGAUUUUAUUGGGCCUAAAGCGUCCGUAGCUGGCCCUGCAAGUCCGUCGGGAAAUCCACUCGCCUAACGAGUGGGCGUCCGGCGGAAACUCCAGGACUUGGGACCGGAAGACUUGAGGGGUACGUCUGGGGUAGGAGUGAAAUCCUGUAAUCCUGGACGGACCGCCGAUAGCGAAAGCACCUCAAGACGACGGAUCCGGCAGUGAGGGACGAAAGCUAUGGUCUCGAAC